AGAAAUUGGUUUCCUUUGUGCAUACGUCUGCACUUUCACAUAUACCCACGUGUGGUCAGCUGAAAAAUGACUCCUCGAAAGAUAUUCAUAUCAAACUCCUGGCAGCUAUGAAUGUGACUUUAUUUGGAAAAAGGGUCUUUGCAGGUGUAAUUAAAUGAAGGAUGUUGAGAUAAGGUGAUUAUUUGGGAUUGCUCAGGUUGGCCCUAAUUCGAAUGAUGAAUGUCUUUAUGAGAGAACGGCAGAGGGAGAUUUGAGACAGAUAGGAGUGAAAACACAGAGAGGAGGAGGAGGCAACGUGACCAUGGAAUAAGACAUUGGAGUGAAGUAGCCACAAGCCAAGGAAUGCCUAAAGCCACCAAAAGCUGGAAGACGCAGGAAAGGAGCCUCCUGGAGAGAUUUCUGAGGGAGCACAGCCCCACCGAUGCCAUGAUUUCAGCCUUCUGGUUCCCAGAAUUGUGAAAGAGUAAAUUUCUGUUGUUUCAAGUGGCCAAGUUGGUGGUAAUUUGCUACUGAAACCCCAGGAAGCUUUGUGCCUGGAUACUAGCAGGAAGGAAGAGGAGGAGCAAGAAUGGAAGGCUUGUACCAACAAGUUCUUAUCCUUUUUAAUGAGGAAAACAAGAGCAUCCCUAUUCUGCUCUUAUCUCACCGAGUUCCAUGGCCAUUCUGAGCUGCAGUGGAGUCUUGGGAGGACAUUUGGCUGGAUUCAAAGAACUUUGAAGCCCAAGGGGAUGGAGGAACCACGGGAUGGAAGGUGCCUGAAUCCUGAAUGACUGUGUGGACAGUUUAUAAACAUUUGGGCAGUGCCAUCUCUAUCACAUAAAUUUAUUUUGUCUUCUUUUAUUUCUUCUUACCUUCCCAUGAUUUUCCUGGGUGAAUGGCUAAUUAGAAGAGUAAGAUGAGGUAGAGGGUGGAAUAGAGAGAUUGUAAAUUCUGCUUUGGGGAUAUUAAUCUGAGUUGUGUGUGAGAUGUUCAAGUGAAGAUGUCAAGCAAAAAUUUAGAUAUUUGCACCCCAGUGUGGUGGCUCACACCUGUAAUACCAGUACUUUGAGAGGCU
RNAcentral lists this long non-coding RNA (1054 nucleotides) under Homo sapiens (human). RNAcentral's name for it is "HSALNT0373275". Lineage: Eukaryota; Metazoa; Chordata; Mammalia; Primates; Hominidae. The record is from RNAcentral.